GCGGGUGGUGGCCACGAGAGCAAAGUGUGGUUGCUUUGCCUAGCAGCUUUGACUGCAGUCGCCAGAAUGCGCCCCGCGCCUGGAACGGUGGCCGGCGGGUUUGGGAGGCACCACGCUUGGCUUGGUCGGCCACGGAUUGGAGUGGCCUUUUCCCUUUUGCGACCGACACUUUGCGGAGGCCGCCGGCGGCGAUGCGAGUUGAGGGCAUCUAUUUAUGACCAAAAUACAUUUUAGUCUUUAAAUUUGUCAUGUCGUAUCAUCCCGUUCUAUAAACUUUUAAAAUUUAAUCUUUUUUUUUGUCUCUGUUAGGUUUAAAACAGUUAGAAACAUACCCUCUCUAUUAGAUCCAAAACAGUUAGAAACAGAUCUGAUAGAGGAUCUUACCCUUCUUCAUAUAACCCUUCUUCCUUUAGCUGACGCGGGAAGAAGAAAUCUUAGGCAUAGGGUCCCGGCCAUGGUCGCCACCAUCUGCUAUCGUGUCGGGAAGCUACGUCUCGUCCUCGAUGGCGAUCACUGGCAUGGCCGCGUCUUCACCUACCUUGUCGUAGGGCAU
This 553-nucleotide long non-coding RNA is filed under the name Zea mays. Its description in RNAcentral is "long non-coding RNA (ZMAY_LNC000876)". Lineage: Eukaryota; Viridiplantae; Streptophyta; Magnoliopsida; Poales; Poaceae. The record is from RNAcentral.